AGUUUCACACAGUGGCAAUAUCAUAGCCAAUGAGAUUUAUCCGAGGUGUGAUUAUUGCUAAUUUUUGAAAUUUUUCCCAAUACCCUGCCAUGACGACUUGAAAUAAAGUCAACCUUGGCAAUUUUUGACUGUCUCUCCCGUGA
Small nuclear RNA from Sorex fumeus (smoky shrew), 143 nucleotides. RefSeq annotates it as U4 spliceosomal RNA. The record is from RefSeq and is a predicted model, not a curated record. Lineage: Eukaryota; Metazoa; Chordata; Mammalia; Eulipotyphla; Soricidae. The transcript has a single exon.